Molecule: long non-coding RNA, 2119 nt
Organism: Camelus dromedarius (Arabian camel)
Lineage: Eukaryota; Metazoa; Chordata; Mammalia; Artiodactyla; Camelidae
Exons: 9
Source: RefSeq, a predicted model, not a curated record
UCCGAGCAGGGGAUUAGCCCCAAAGGCUUCUCAGCUCUGUCGCCAGCCAGGCCUUUAGCUCCUGCCCGGGGCCGGUGCCUCUGGCUGUGGAAGUGCAGUGUGGGGUCUCCCGGGAAAUGGAUCAGGCUGCUGCGGGAGGGCGGUCCGCGUGUCACAGACCACGAAGGCGCGAGUCAGCCUGUGUUCAGCUGAAUUCCUUUGACCAGGCCUCUCUGACCGCGCCACCUGCCCCGGAGCCCCGGCCACAGCUGCCCAGGGCCAGGUGUGCACCUGCCGCCUCUCUCCCCAGCUGGGCUCCCCUCAGUCUGUGGCUGGCGUCCCCUUCCCCUCUCCCGCCCGCGAGUCCUCUCCUCCCGGGCUUCCUCUCCUUGGCUGCCGGCCCGUCCCCACAACUGGGCGGGAUGCAUCCCUGGUGGGCGUGGUCUGCGGACCCUUACAGGGCAGCUGGGGCUGGGGCUGGGGAUGGCCUCUGAGCGGGGCUGCAGCCCGCGACUCCGGGUCUGCCCUGGUCUUCCUUUCCCGCUCCCUGAGGAACAUCUCAGUGGCGUCUGCGCUGCUCCCUGGGCUGAGAGUCUCCGGCUGUAAAGCCCAGCUUCUGGUGGAGUCGGGAAAAGGGAUCCUCAGUGCCAAGCGAGCUUCUGUCUCCUCCCUCAGUGUUUCUGCCUCAGGGUGAAACGUAUGACCAUCGAUUUUAAAAAGACAGUUACAUUCCCUAACUAGCCCAGCCCAGCUUGGGUGUGUUAACAGGAACAGCACCACCAGAGGCGUUGGAGACCCAGGGACAUUCCAGUCCUAAAGAGCUCCUGGCACAGUUUGGUUUGUUUUGGUUUUUUCUUUUUCUUAAAUUGUGGGGCAGACUAAGUAGUAUAGAGGGAAAAAUAAUUGUCAAGAAAUAUUUUUUCAUAUAACAGCUUUAUUGUGACAUUGUUCACACACCAUGAAGUCCAUCCAUUUAAAUGGUACAAUUCAGCAGCUUUUAGCAUAUUCACAGUUGUGCAACAAUUAUUAUUCCAGAACGUUUUCAUCACAUCAGAAAGACCAGUGGAAAUGAAUGACCUAUCCACCCCUCCCCAGUGGUGGUUCUAAAGAAGUUUCUUAGGUCAUAUGGGCCUCUGUCCCAGGACUGACUGCAGCCUUUUCUUCCCUGGUCAACAUUUCCUGUGCCUUUCAGAAGUUGGUCUCUUCUCUGCAAUUGAACCCUGGCAGAUGUGAUGGUGGUCAGCGUGCUGGGGGGCAGUCACUUGGGGCUCCCAGGAAACAUGCUGAUUCUCCUGAGUCUCUCAUUCGGGGUUACAGAACUGUCGUGCACCGGAGGAAGCCCAUUCAGUACGUUUUGGUUACUGAGACCCUCGAAUUCCCAUAUGAAUUGUAGUAGCAGCUUUUUGCAGAUGUGCCUGCUGGGAUUGUAAUCGAAACCACGUUGUAUGUAUGGAUCGCUCUGGGGAGCACUGCCAUUCCAAGAGCGCUGUCUUCUGAUCCAGGAAUGUGUGCGGUGUGUCUGUCCAGGUGAUACUGCUAUGGUUGCUGCCUGUGCCCUACCCCCAGCCUUGGUUUUGGAGUUGAGUGCCCUCACCUCCAGUGGCAUCCAUCCAGACACCAGCACUGACACUGGCCGUGCUCAGAAUUGCCUCAGCCCUGAAGACACAACUGACAAAUAGAAGGGGGCCACGCCCUGUUACAGCAGGUGCUCUCAAUUUGUGGGUCCUUAUGUAACUGCAUGUUGUUAUUCAGGAUCGCCCGUUCUACAUUGUGUGGCGCUGCUGCAGUGUCUCCUAGUUAUUUGUUUCUGAUCUGAGAAGCAGGAGCAAGGAACUCAGAGAGAGAUCCAGGAAGACAUCUGACUCUGUUAAGAGACGACAGUCACAGCGACACGGGGAGUGAAGAAACUUGCAGCAAAGUAAAAUGACUUCAGAAAAAUUGCAUCAGAGCUGCAGGUGUGAGAGAGCCUAAGCCUGUCUCAGAGUGCAGGGGACAAGUGGAAAGGAAUGUGUAAGAAUGCCGGUGACUCAGAAGCAUGCUUCGAAGCUGCCCAUGUCCUUGCCAUCCAGAAGCGGAGCCUGGGAGCUUCCGAAUUUCUCCAGAAUGCGGUUUACAUUCACCUUGACAGCGUUCCUAGGAG